GACGAACGCUGGCGGCGUGCUUAACACAUGCAAGUCGAGCGAGAAAAUUUCGACAGGUCGCUUCGGGGUGAGGAUGAAGUGGGAUAGCGGCGGACGGGUGGGAAUAACGUGCGUAACGUGGCUUUAACAUUGGGAUAGCUUCGCGAAACAGGGAUUAAUACCAAAUGACUCUGCCUGAGCACAUGAUCAUUGAGUAAAAGGUAUUCGGUCAAAGAUGGGCUCGCGGCUGAUUAGCUAGUUGGUAGGGUAACGGCCAACCAAGGCGACGAUCGGUAGCCGGCCUGAGAGGGUGAUCGGCCACACUGGAACUGAGACACGGCCCAAACUCCUACGGGAGGCAGCAGUGGGGAAUAUUGCACAAUGGGGGAAAGCCUGAUGCAGCGACGCCGCGUGAGUGAAGAAGGCCUUCGGGUCGUAAAGCUCUUUUAUGCGGGAAGAUAAUGACGGUACCGCAAGAAUAAGCUCCGGCUAACUCCGUG
Molecule: ribosomal RNA, 479 nt
Filed under: uncultured bacterium
Lineage: Bacteria
Description: partial 16S ribosomal RNA
Rfam family: Bacterial small subunit ribosomal RNA
Source: RNAcentral